CAAAAAUAACGAUACGGGACUCAUCCGAGGCCCCGUAAUCGGAAUGAGUACACUCUAAACCCUUUAACGAGGAUCAAUUGGAGGGCAAGUCUGGUGCCAGCAGCCGCGGUAACACCAGCUCCAAUAGCGUAUAUUAAAGUUGUUGCGGUUAAAAAGCUCGUAGUCGAAUUUGUGUCCCGCGCCGCCGGUUCAUCGCUCGCGGUGUUAACUGGCGUGUCCGCGGGACGUCCUGCCGGUGGGCUAAGCUCUCGGGCGGCCCAAUCUCAAUCCCACCGCGGUGCUCUUUACUGAGUGUCGAGGUGGGCCGGCACGUUUACUUUGAACAAAUUAGAGUGCUUAAAGCAGGCUAAAAUAUCGCCUGAAUACUGUGUGCAUGGAAUAAUGGAAUAGGACCUCGGUUCUAUUUUGUUGGUUUUCGGAACCCCGAGGUAAUGAUUAAUAGGAACGGAUGGGGGCAUUCGUAUUGCGACGUUAGAGGUGAAAUUCUUGGAUCGUCGCAAGACGGACAGAAGCGAAAGCAUUUGCCAAAAACGUUUUCAUUGAUCAAGAACGAAAGUUAGAGGUUCGAAGGCGAUCAGAUACCGCCCUAGUUCUAACCAUAAACGAUGCCAGCUAGCGAUCCGCCGACGUUCCUCCGAUGACUCGGCGGGCAGCUUCCGGGAAACCAAAGCUUUUGGGAUCCGGGGGAAGUAUGGUUGCAAAGCUGAAACUUAAAGGAAUUGACGGAAGGGCACCACCAGGAGUGGAGCCUGCGGCUUAAUUUGACUCAACACGGGAAACCUCACCAGGCCCGGACACCGGAAGGAUUGACAGAUUGAGAG
RNAcentral lists this ribosomal RNA (821 nucleotides) under Helictopleurus splendidicollis. RNAcentral's name for it is "SSU rRNA". It matches the Rfam family "Eukaryotic small subunit ribosomal RNA", at positions 472 to 1254 of the family's 1831-position model. Lineage: Eukaryota; Metazoa; Arthropoda; Insecta; Coleoptera; Scarabaeidae. The record is from RNAcentral.